AGCAGUCGCCGCGGUAAUACAUAGGUGGCAAGCGUUGUCCGGAAUUAUUGGGCGUAAAGCGCGCGCAGGCGGAUCAGUCAGUCUGUCUUAAAAGUUCGGGGCUUAACCCCGUGAUGGGAUGGAAACUGCCAAUCUAGAGUAUCGGAGAGGAAAGUGGAAUUCCUAGUGUAGCGGUGAAAUGCGUAGAUAUUAGGAAGAACACCAGUGGCGAAGGCGACUUUCUGGACGAAAACUGACGCUGAGGCGCGAAAGCCAGGGGAGCGAACGGGAUUAGAUACCCCCGUAGUCCCUGUCUCUUAUACA
Molecule: ribosomal RNA, 303 nt
Filed under: uncultured bacterium
Lineage: Bacteria
Description: partial 16S ribosomal RNA
Rfam family: Bacterial small subunit ribosomal RNA
Source: RNAcentral